UGAGGAAUAUUGGACAAUGGGCGCAAGCCUGAUCCAGCCAUGCCGCGUGCAGGAUGACGGUCCUAUGGAUUGUAAACUGCUUUUGUACAGGAAGAAACGGUUCUACGUGUAGAACCUUGACGGUACUGUAAGAAUAAGGAUCGGCUAACUCCGUGCCAGCAGCCGCGGUAAUACGGAGGAUCCAAGCGUUAUCCGGAAUCAUUGGGUUUAAAGGGUCCGUAGGCGGUUAGAUAAGUCAGUGGUGAAAGCCCAUCGCUCAACGGUGGAACGGCCAUUGAUACUGUCUGACUUGAAUUAUUAGGAAGUAACUAGAAUAUGUAGUGUAGCGGUGAAAUGCUUAGAGAUUACAUGGAAUACCAAUUGCGAAGGCAGGUUACUACUAAUGGAUUGACGCUGAUGGACGAAAGCGUGGGUAGCGAACAGGAUUAGAUACCCAGUAGUCCCUGAGCGGGCUGGCAAGGCGCAU
RNAcentral lists this ribosomal RNA (466 nucleotides) under uncultured bacterium. RNAcentral's name for it is "bacterial SSU rRNA". It matches the Rfam family "Bacterial small subunit ribosomal RNA", at positions 355 to 825 of the family's 1533-position model. The record is from RNAcentral.